CUAUGUCCAAUUUCCAGAGUGGUUG
RNAcentral lists this non-coding RNA (25 nucleotides) under Mus musculus (house mouse). The record is from RNAcentral. Lineage: Eukaryota; Metazoa; Chordata; Mammalia; Rodentia; Muridae.